UACAGAGGGUGCGAGCGUUAAUCGGAAUUACUGGGCGUAAAGCGUGCGUAGACGGUUAUGUAAGUCGGGUGUGAAAGCCCCGGGCUCAACCUGGGAAUUGCAUUCGAGACUGCAUAGCUAGGAUGCGGAAGAGGGAAGUGGAAUUUCCGGUGUAGUGGUGAAAUGCGUAGAUAUCGGGAGGAACACCAGUGGCGAAGGCGACUACCUGGCCUGUUCUUGACGCUGAGGCGCGAAAGCUAGGGGAGCAAACGGG
This 253-nucleotide ribosomal RNA is filed under the name uncultured bacterium. Its description in RNAcentral is "partial 16S ribosomal RNA". It matches the Rfam family "Bacterial small subunit ribosomal RNA", at positions 524 to 776 of the family's 1533-position model. The record is from RNAcentral.